RNAcentral lists this ribosomal RNA (771 nucleotides) under Salinivibrio costicola. Its description in RNAcentral is "bacterial SSU rRNA". It matches the Rfam family "Bacterial small subunit ribosomal RNA", at positions 28 to 776 of the family's 1533-position model. Lineage: Bacteria; Pseudomonadati; Pseudomonadota; Gammaproteobacteria; Vibrionales; Vibrionaceae. The record is from RNAcentral.
AUUGAACGCUGGCGGCAGGCCUAACACAUGCAAGUCGAGCGGAAACGGCAGUAUUGAAGCUUCGGUGGAUUUACUGGACGUCGAGCGGCGGACGGGUGAGUAACGGCUGGGAACCUGCCCUGACGAGGGGGAUAACCGUUGGAAACGACGGCUAAUACCGCAUAAUGUCUACGGACCAAAGGUGGCCUCUACAUGUAAGCUAUCGCGUUGGGAUGGGCCCAGUUAGGAUUAGCUAGUUGGUAAGGUAACGGCUUACCAAGGCGACGAUCCUUAGCUGGUUUGAGAGGAUGAUCAGCCACACUGGGACUGAGACACGGCCCAGACUCCUACGGGAGGCAGCAGUGGGGAAUAUUGCACAAUGGGGGAGACCCUGAUGCAGCCAUGCCGCGUGUGUGAAGAAGGCCUUCGGGUUGUAAAGCACUUUCAGCAGUGAGGAAGGUAGUGUACUUAAUACGUGCAUUACUUGACGUUAGCUGCAGAAGAAGCACCGGCUAACUCCGUGCCAGCAGCCGCGGUAAUACGGAGGGUGCGAGCGUUAAUCGGAAUUACUGGGCGUAAAGCGCAUGCAGGCGGUUUGUUAAGUCAGAUGUGAAAGCCCGGGGCUCAACCUCGGAACCGCAUUUGAAACUGGCAGGCUAGAGUCUUGUAGAGGGGGGUAGAAUUUCAGGUGUAGCGGUGAAAUGCGUAGAGAUCUGAAGGAAUACCAGUGGCGAAGGCGGCCCCCUGGACAAAGACUGACGCUCAGAUGCGAAAGCGUGGGUAGCAAACAGG